This 253-nucleotide ribosomal RNA is filed under the name uncultured bacterium. Its description in RNAcentral is "partial 16S ribosomal RNA". It matches the Rfam family "Bacterial small subunit ribosomal RNA", at positions 524 to 776 of the family's 1533-position model. The record is from RNAcentral.
GACAGAGGGUGCAAACGUUGUUCGGAAUUACUGGGCGUAAAGCGAGUGUAGGCGGUUCGAUAAGUCGGAUGUGAAAGCCCCGGGCUCAACCCGGGAAGUGCACUCGAUACUGUCGAGCUAGAGUAUCGGAGAGGUUGGUGGAAUUCUCGGUGUAGAGGUGAAAUUCGUAGAUAUCGAGAGGAACACCGGUGGCGAAGGCGGCCAACUGGUCCGGAUCUGACGCUGAGGCGCGAAAGCGUGGGGAGCAAACAGG